Molecule: ribosomal RNA, 465 nt
Filed under: Naria beckii
Lineage: Eukaryota; Metazoa; Mollusca; Gastropoda; Littorinimorpha; Cypraeidae
Description: Erosaria beckii partial 16S large subunit ribosomal RNA
Rfam family: Bacterial large subunit ribosomal RNA
Source: RNAcentral
GAGUCGGACCUGCCCAGUGAAUUAAGUUUUCAACGGCCGCGGUACUCUGACCGUGCAAAGGUAGCAUAAUCAUUUGCCCUAUAAUUGAGGGCUAGUAUGAAUGGUUUGACGUGAGCAAAACUGUCUCUAUAUAAAUUUCUAGAACUUGAUUUUUAGGUGAAGAAACCUAAAUUCUAUUGAUAGACAAGAAGACCCUAUUGAGCUUUAAAAGAACAAGUAGAAAAUAAUAUAUAAAUCUAAAUAUUAAUCUACUUUAAAUUUUGGUUGGGGCGACUAAGGAACAAAUAAAGCUUCUUUACUACUUUUAUACCUGCAAGUUUUGAUCCAGAAAUUCUGAUUAAUGGAAUUAGUUACCAUAGGGAUAACAGCAUAAUUUUCUUUGAGAGUCCUUAUCGAAAAGAAAGUUUGUGACCUCGAUGUUGGACUAGAAUAUCCUGAAGAUGCAGCAGUCUUUAAGGGUUGGUC